Molecule: ribosomal RNA, 465 nt
Filed under: uncultured bacterium
Lineage: Bacteria
Description: partial 16S ribosomal RNA
Rfam family: Bacterial small subunit ribosomal RNA
Source: RNAcentral
CUACGGGAGGCUGCAGUGGGGAAUAUUGGACAAUGGGGGGAACCCUGAUCCAGCAAUGCCGCGUGUGUGAAGAAGGCCUGCGGGUUGUAAAGCACUUUCGGUUGGGAGGACUGCUUCUAGCACUAAUAUUGUUGGAAGUUGACGUUACCUUCAGAAGAAGCACCGGCUAACUCCGUGCCAGCAGCCGCGGUAAUACGGAGGGUGCAAGCGUUAACCGGAAUUACUGGGCGUAAAGCGCGCGUAGGCGGCUAGAUCAGUCGGGUGUGAAAGCCCCGGGCUUAACCUGGGAACUGCAUCCGAUACUGUCUAGCUUGAGUACAGGAGAGGAGGGUGGAAUUCCACAUGUAGCGGUGAAAUGCGUAGAUAUGUGGAGGAACACCAAUGGCGAAGGCAGCUCUCUGGCCUGAUACUGACGCUGAGGUGCGCAAGCGUGGGGAGCAAACAGGAUUAGAUACCCCAGUAGUC